UCGGUCAGUCGAUACGAGCGCACCCUAUCCUUAGUUGCCAGCACGUAAUGGUGGGGACUCUAGGGAAACUGCCCGGGAUAACCGGAAGGAAGGUGGGGUCGACGUCAAGUCAGUAUGUCCCUUACGUUCAGGGCUACACACGUAAUACAAUGGGGAGUACAGAGGGUAGCAAAACUGCGGAGUUGAGCCAAUCCCAAAAAACUUCCCCAAGUUCGGAUUGCAGUCUGCAACUCGACUGCAUGAAGCAGGAAUCGCUAGUAAUCGCGCAUCAGCAUGGCGCGGUGAAUACGUUCCCGGGUCUUGUACACACCGCCCGUCACGCCAUGGAAGCCGGUAGCACCCAACGUCAGUGUCCUAACCUUCGGGAAGGAGCUGCUUAAGGUGAGAUUGGUAACUGGGGCGAAGUCGUAACAAGGUAGCCGUACCGGAAGGUGCGGCUGGAUUACCUCCUUUCA
RNAcentral lists this ribosomal RNA (455 nucleotides) under uncultured Fibrobacteres/Acidobacteria group bacterium. RNAcentral's name for it is "bacterial SSU rRNA". It matches the Rfam family "Bacterial small subunit ribosomal RNA", at positions 1077 to 1533 of the family's 1533-position model. The record is from RNAcentral. Lineage: Bacteria; Pseudomonadati.